ACCACCUGCCCCCGGCCCGGCCCCGUCUUGCCACUCGAGUAAAACAAGAGAGUACCACCACGGCCUUGACUGCGUGACCAUAUCCAGUCCACACUCCAAGUCCAAGUCAUCCCCCCAGUCCUCCUCGGCCUCUCCUCCUCAUCCAUCCGGGAUCCGGCCGCGACCGGUUGGUGCAAUGGGCUCCGGCACGCACCCCUACCCGGCCCCGUCCAUCCCUCCUCGGCUACCUCUUUUGCUUCCUUAUUUAAACCCCUACCAGCUGGUGCCAAUUUCGUCCUCAGAGCACACGAACUCCUUCCUCACCAAGCCACCGGGCCAGAGAGAGCGAGCAAGCAGCUAGUAUACCUCUGCUGCAAGUCCGCAAUGUCGACUAGCUGCCGCGCUCCGGCCAACCGCUGCAUCUGCAAGACGCCGUCGGGGAACCCGCUGCCGCGGCGGGGCCAGGUCAAGGAGAGCAUCGCCAAGCACAUCGUGGCGGCCGCCGUGGCCACGGCGUCGGUGCUCGUCUGCGACGCCGACGCGGGCGGCAAGAAAGGCGGGGCCAAGCCGCCCGCCCCGCCCGCCGGUGCCAAGAAGAAAUGAGAAGCCGAAUUGCUUGUCCGAGUGUCCGAUAAUUUAUGUGAUCACCACCUUGACGUGACGUCUAUCGCUGUCUCGUGCGUGCAUGCAAGGAUAACUUUCACUCCUCACGGCACUUGUCUUGUUGUUCUGCUAUGUUUUGUUCUCGUUGUUCCGUCGUCAGGGAUGUACGUACUAGGGAGAGGUCGGCAAGUAUUAUCGCCUGAUCUUGUUAUAUGUAAUGUGUGUGUACGGCAUAUACAGUGUUUUGGUGGUUCC
Long non-coding RNA from Triticum aestivum (bread wheat), 837 nucleotides. RefSeq lists it as uncharacterized. The record is from RefSeq and is a predicted model, not a curated record. Lineage: Eukaryota; Viridiplantae; Streptophyta; Magnoliopsida; Poales; Poaceae. The transcript is spliced from 2 exons.